This is a long non-coding RNA of Pipra filicauda (Wire-tailed manakin), 1798 nucleotides long. RefSeq lists it as uncharacterized. NCBI's taxonomy places the organism in Eukaryota, Metazoa, Chordata, Aves, Passeriformes, Pipridae. The record is from RefSeq and is a predicted model, not a curated record. The transcript has 2 exons.
CAUGAUACACUUAUCUUUCACAUACCUGGUGCCUUUCCAAUAAAGCUUCAGCUCCAGUCACAUCCUUUGCAAGUUCAUCUGAGGAGACCAGGCCCCGGAUUCCAUUGAUCCAAGACAUAAGGUCCCUGUGAACACACAUUAAUAGGGAAUUUUUCCAUCCCUCCACUGAAAGAAGUCAGAACAGGGAAAACAGUCCUUUUCUGAACCACCCCAGAAAUGUUCCUGUGGAACAAUAAGCCACAUAUACUUCACUAAUAAUAAAACAGACAAAUUGAGGAGGGGAAUCUUUACCUGAAGUCACUGAGGAAACGCUGCAGGUCAUGAGAAUCUCCAAGCUUCUCUUUGCGCUGGUCAGCACGUUUUCCCAGACUAUUCCAAGCCUGAUUCAGCUCAGUACAUUUUUCUUGGAGAUCUUCAGCAGAUUCCGGGUGUGACUGGAUGAGACGCUGGGCAGUUUCACCAAGAGAAUUCACCUGGAAUUAGAGAAAAGGAAAUAAUGAAGACAGACAGAAACUUUGCUUUAGUUCACUCAUUUCUGCUGGAGAAAAAGAAAGCUUUUGGGCUUGUCCUCCUCACAAAUCUCACCUUGUCUCCCAGAGCUGCCAGGUCUCUCUCAAAGCCUUCAUGCUUUCGCUGCAGAGCCUGAACACUGGCCAGGUCAUGCCCAUAGUUGUCUGUAUUUAAUGCCUGAUUCUUCUCUUCUAUCCAUUCUUUGGUUUCAUCAGCAUCUCUGGUUUGAAGGAAGGGAAGGCAAAAGACCAUUAAAACAGAGCUCAUACCAGGACCUCUGAUACCUGCAGGUUGCCAAUAUCUAGAGAAGCUCAUGUAGUUAAUGCUCUAUUAAAUAUUUCCCAAAAUGACACAAGUGAACUUUGGCAAAAUAGGAGACUAGUCCAGACCUCCCAAGCCCACAGCAAUUCCAUGUUUCCAGUGUUAACAAGCCUUUCUUUUCCUAGUAAAAUAUAAAGAGUUCUUGUUGGACCACCUUCCACUGAACAAGCUGGGAGUUGAAAUAAGAUUAGAACAAGCCCCACUAUAUUUUAGAGCUCUUAACAGUCAAAAGCAUUUGAGUGAGUCACGACUAAAUAUGAUACAAACACCUCACCUGUGGAAUCUCUGGACCUCAUGGGCACUGCCCAACAACUGGCUCCUCUCCUCUGCCAACUGCUGCAGAGACCUCCAGCGCUCAUUCAGCUCCUGAGGAAGAGGAGAAGAAAGUCAAGGCUGGCCUUUCACCGCAGGUGACAGCAAUUCCAUUGUAAGUCAGUAAUGAAUGGAGAAAGGCUUCUUCUAACUAUUGAAGAAAAUGAGCUGGAGAUGACUACUGGAAGACAAAUACAGCAUAUUCCUUACUAAAGGAAUAUUGACAGAAAUGGUUUUGACUGUCAGGAAUGAAAACCUCUUUGAUGUAGCAAGCAGAAAGAAAAGAAUUCAUGCAAAGUGAACAGAGAUUAUUUCAGAACUAGUGGCCAUGCAGUACCUAAAAAUGUUGGUAUAAAAACUGGAAUCAGUCUUAAGAGUACAAGCUCAAACCAAAAUAGUUUUGCAGCAGAGAGGUAAAAGCAGACUGUUGGCAAUUUCUGUGGCACAGAAGUGUAUGGUCCAAAAAAAGAUGAUGUGCUGUAGUUUUGGUUUUAUUUUCCUGUUGUUGCUGCUAAGUGAUGACACCUACCUUCCAGGGAGAGGCUGUCUUAGAAUCAGUUUCAUCCUGUUUAAAAAUGUGAAGAAACAGCUUUAAAUGUGAAGCAGAAUCUAAAACUAUCAGAAUAUAUUAAAAAAUAAAAAAUCUUUGAAAGAU